This is an RNA transcript of Dicentrarchus labrax (European seabass), 3165 nucleotides long. It is a transcript of the gene named butyrophilin-like protein 2, with no coding region annotated. NCBI's taxonomy places the organism in Eukaryota, Metazoa, Chordata, Actinopteri, Moronidae. The transcript is spliced from 9 exons. The record is from RefSeq and is a predicted model, not a curated record.
UGUUCACAUUAUUGUCAACUGGACUAAAACUGAGCGUUUCACAACCCAAAUGUUUAACGUCCUUCAGGUCCAGUGUGUCUGUCACUGCUCUACUCUCCACCGCUCAUAUAUGUCGUUUUGGGAGUUAUUGGCAAUCAACCAAUAAUGUUUGUGUGAAAGCUGCUCAGCCGGUUUCUUUCCAUUCCAACAGCUGCUUCUCUGGAAACAGUUUAAAGUGAAACUAAAGUUUUCUCCUCACAGUGUCAGCAGAUUAUCAGGAGGAGGAAAGUGACAACUGGCUGUGAACUGAAUGUGUUUUUCCAGUGUUCGUUUAGUGAGAAGCAGAUUAAUGAGGACUUUGUGGUUGUUGUAGUUUUUACAGAAGAUGAAGAUGUUUGUGGUGUUUGUGAUCCUCGUGCACGUUUCCCAGCAUGCCUCAGCUGUGGAGCUGUAUGAGGGGGAGGAGUUUGUCCUGCUGCCCUGUGAGUUUCACACUUUUGACAUGGACGACCCCACAGUGGUGUGGAGCCGCUACGAUCUCAAUCCUCCAACCGUCCACCAGCGUCAGCAGGAAGGUGAUGAACUUAAAGACCAAAACCAGCUUUACAGCGGCCGAACAUCCAUGAUGGCUGACGCUCUGGAAACUGGAGACCUCAGCCUCAAGCUGACAAAACUCCACCUCUCUGACAGCGGCACCUACACCUGCACUGUCAGAGCAUUAGGAGGACAACGGAGAGUGAGAGAAGUACAGCUGCAGGUCAAAGAACGAUUUCCAUCCUGGGCCAAAGCUCUCCUGGUUCUCCUGGUUCUCGGUCUUAUUGUUGGGGGUCUUUUGGUGCAUUUUCGGCACUAUUUCAUGUCAGUCUACCAGGUGGAGGUGGGUUCAGAGGAGGAGUCUGUCCUGCUGCCCUGCAAAACCACAGUUCACCUGCCUGAGGACGUCACAGUGGAGUGGACGGACAGUGACAACAGGAAGGUCCAUGUGUAUCAGAACGGCUCUGAUCAGCCUGAAGAACAGAACCAGUAUUACAGAGACCGAACAGAGAUGAAGAGAAACCUGCUGGAACCUGGAGACCUCAGUCUGACCCUGAAAUACCCCAAAUACAGAGACAGAAACACUUUCACCUGCACCGUCUACAGCAGGGAGAGAAAGAUCCUGAUGGAGAAACAAGUGCUGCUCGAGGUCAAAGUCUACCAGGUGGAGGUGGAUUCAGGGGUGGAGUCUGUCCUGCUGCCCUGCAAAACCACAGUUCACCUGCCUGAGGACGUCACAGUGGAGUGGACAGACAGAUACAACAGGAAGGUCCAUGUGUAUCAGAACAGCUCUGAUCAGCCUGAAGAACAGAACCAGUUUUACAGAGACCGAACAGAGAUGAAGAGAAACCUACUGGAACCUGGAGACCUCAGUCUGACCCUGAAAUACCCCACAUACAGAGACAUUGACAUCUACACCUGCACCGUCUACAACAGGGAGAGAGAGAUCCUGAUGAAGAAACAAGUGCUGCUUGAGGUCAAAGUCUACCAGGUGGAGGUGGGUUCAAGGGUGGAGUCUGUCCUGCUGCCCUGCAAAACCACAGUUCACCUGCCUGAGGACGUCAGAGUGGAGUGGACAGACAGUUACAACUGGAAGGUCCAUGUGUAUCAGAACGGCUCUGAUCAGCCUGAAGAACAGAACCAGUAUUACAGAGACCGAACAGAGAUGAAGAGAAACCUGCUGGAACCUGGAGACCUCAGUCUGACCCUGAAAUACCCCACAGACAGAGACACCUUCACCUGCACCGUCUACAACAGGGAGAGAAAGAUCCUGAUGGAGAAACGAGUGGAGCUUGAGUUCAAAGAGCAUAAGGUGGAGGUGGAGGAGGGGGGCGAAGUCUGUCCAACUGCCCUUCAAGACCACAGCUGACCUGCCUGAGGACGCUGAAGUGGAGUGGAGACGCAUUGAACCUGAACCCACAAUAACAGUCCAUGUGUAUCAGAACAGUUCUGACCAGCCUGGACAACAGAACCAGGAUUACAGAGACCGAACUGAGAUGAACGAAGACCUGCUGAAAACUGGAGACCUCAGUCUGACCCUGAAAUGCCCCAAAGAGAGAGACACAGGAAGAUACGGCUGCAGAAUCUACAACAAGGAGGGAAACAUCAGAUACUUACUGAGAGGGAAAACAGUGGAGCUCACAGUCAGAGAGAGAACCAGGAACAGAAGCAGCUCCAUUGAUCCAACUCCUCUGAUGGCUGAUCAAUCUGUUUGAUUGGUCUGUUGAUCAAUCUUUGAUUAUUGAUCUUGUUGAAGGGGCUCAAAGGAAGAGAAUGUCAACGUUCAGCUUUCAGUGUUUCCUCUCUUCAUCGUCUGAAUGAACCUGCAGUCCAUACUGUGAUUGAUUGAUUGACUGAUUGAUUGAUUGACUGAUUGAUUGAUUGAUUGAUUGAUUGAUUGAUUGAUUGGUCUCAUGUAGCUCUAUAAUGUUUCUCUGAUGUUUGUGUAUUCAGCUUCUAUACAUAUAUAUCUGGCUGUGUCUCAGGAGGUAGAGCGGGUCGUCCACUGAUCAGAAGGUUGCUGGUUCGAUCCCCGGCUCCUCCCGCUGCAUGUCGAAGUGUCCUUGAGCAAAAUACUGAACCCCAAACUGCUCCUGAUGCUGAAUCACUGUAUGAAUGAGUGAAUGAGUGAAUGAGUCAGCUGAACUGUUCUCAUGUGUUUGAAUCCAUAAAGUGUUGUGAGCAGAUGAGUUAUGGAUUCGAUCAUUUCACACUCUGUUUAGAGAAUGAUGAAUAUUGAGGAGAACAACUGUAAAUAAAGCUCAAAUGUACAGAAAUCAUUUCUCCACUCUGACAGCAUCAUGAAAAUGGAUCUAAAGCUGUGAGAAUGAUGGAUUCAGGAGGCAUCAAAACUUUGAUUACUACUCUCUUCUGAAAUAACAAAAGUGCUCAGUGUGACGGCCUUAUUGUGUUCCUCUUGCUUGGUUGUUUACUCUUUGUUUCAGGUAGUAAGGGGUGGAGCUGAGAUUACUCUCUGCUGCAGCUCACCUGAGCAGACUCUCUCACUCUCUUCCUCUGGCUGCUGACUGAACUGUUGGGUUUUGUUUGUGUUCUGGGUUUUACAUUCAUACAUAUACACCUCACCCUUCACUCACAUAUUAAACUGUACUGAUUAUUUUGGUAUUUACUUCAUUAAAUUGUCAGAACAAUUCA